This 21539-nucleotide long non-coding RNA is filed under the name Nicotiana tabacum (common tobacco). RNAcentral describes it as "long non-coding RNA (NTAB_LNC008367)". The record is from RNAcentral. Lineage: Eukaryota; Viridiplantae; Streptophyta; Magnoliopsida; Solanales; Solanaceae.
UAAGACCCUAGACCUACAGACACACAACCAUCAGCGUCGUUUUACAUAACACGACCCCUCCCCCACUGUUCUGCUUCGUCUUCAACAAAACACAUGACCCCUCCCCCACCGUUAUGCUUCAUCUUCAACCAAACACAUGACCCCUCCCCUUUUUGCUGCCAAGAAAUAGUAGGACACACACAAGACGAAACCAAAUAUGACCGGAAACAUGUAAUUCCGACGACCUUCCAUUGAAUCCGGCGAAACCGAGUUCGAACCCAACGGUAAACCCAGCUCCAAAACUCCCUGAAACUGCACCAAAUCAGCGUGGAAAUCAGCUCGAAAUUAUUACCCAAAUCCAGUCGAAUCGAAUCCGUUCGGGUUACCGAUUCUGGUCCAGAUGCCUAGUCUAUAGCUCGACUUAGAGUUUUGCUAUUUUAGAGCUUUUAUUUGCAUUGUAUUUGCUCCAGAAUUUCAACAAUAGAAGGUCAGUUCUUCCAUUUCUUCACUGGAAAUUUAUUCAUGUCCUGUUACUAGCGGGUAUAAAAGAAUAUACAUCAUGAUUCAUGGCGUUUCAGUUUCCUUUUAUUGAUUUCUGUCUUGAUUGAUCUGAUUUGUCUCCUUAUCUCAACACUGAAUAAUGUUAAGUUAUAUGAGUUUCAAGCUAUAUGAUUUCUAAAAUGAUCAUGCCACGUUGCGGCAAAUGUAAGCACUUUAUCCCUUAUUUCCCAUUUUCUUUAUCUAUAAAAAUGUUGGUCUGUUGUUGUGUCUUACCCAAAUUGCCGGAGCAAGAAGAAGGUAAUCCAUAUUAUUGACAUGAGUACCUAUAAUAUGAAAAUGUAAGUCGGUCUCAUUCACUACAUUGAAAUUUCAAAGAAGCUAAUAGAAUGCCAGGAUAGUUGAAAGCCUAAAGCUUGGUAAAAGGAACUAGACCUUAGUGCUUAUGGGAAGCUCAUGUUUCCUAGUUAAUUGGUUUAACCUUUUGACAGAAGAUCGUUUAUUAUUAUUUUUUUGGUAAGUUAACUUGAUAGGAGAUUAUUAGGAUGAGAUUCUCUUUUCUUUUGUUGCAUCUUGUCUUAUUCUUUUUAUUAGAAUAAUUGCUAGUAUGUUGCAGGUGCUAGUAAUUAAUCUAUCAUCGUGAUUGUGUACACGUUCGCGUGACAUAAUUAUGGUUUUUCAAAAUAAAUCGAGGUAUGCGUUCACGUAACUUUGGCCAAACAAUCUUAAUAUUAAUAAAGUGUGAUUAAUUGUGGACACGUACGCGUGACAUGAUUUUUUUACGCGCCAAAUGGAAUGAGUACACGUACGCGUGACUUGUUUUAAGAUAAUUUCUUAAUUAAAAGAGGCACAUAGAUUCUAAAUUGAGUAAUUAAACAAUUUGAUUAAGUCAAGUAUGAUCAAAGCAACCGUGCUAAAACCACGGAACUCGGUAAUGCCUAACACCUUCUCCCAGGUUACCAGAAUUCCUUACCUGAAUUUCUGUAUUUGCAGACCGUAAAUAGAGUCAACUUCCUCGAUUCAGGAUUUUAACCGGUGACUUGAGACACCAUAAAUUAUUUGAAGUGGCGACUCAGAUUUUUAAAUAAUAAUCCUGUUUCGAUUGUCAUUUAAAUUGCAAAAAACUCCCUACUACCCGUUCUAGAGGGUAGUAAAAAGGAGGUGUGACACAUAUUAUAUACCUCAAGCCAUCCUGCUCAAAAUCAAUAACCACACGCAAUUCGAAAUUAAGUACCCAAAGUGUAUUAUCAUAACCACGGAGAAGCAAAUUACACAAUGCCACACCUAACCCAAAAGAUCAUAACCAAUACGCAAUCAAUCAUGCAAUACCCAAAUACCCAUCUCGCUCAAAUUCAGCUAUAAGGGCCCUAAUAGAACCGCACCAUGUGUGCAUAUAACCAACGAAUCACAACUUCUCGUAGAAUAGAAGAGUAACUCACAGAUUAUAUCAGAACACGAAUGAGCUCAACAACAACCGAAUGGCACAUCCCUCAACCAUAGGUGUAUGGAGCCAACCAAUCUGACGUGGAGUAGAAUACACAUCCUAAUUGGGCGUACCACUGGAUCCCAAAUCAACUCUGGUCAUCCACAAAUAGAUAAAUAACCCUCCGAAGGUCCAGAAUGGCCUAACCAUAAUGCAUACCAUCCUUUGACUAGCUUUGGCCACAUUUUCACAGUCCACAACCGCAAAACAAUCUAUUCUUAAGAACUCCCGUUCCCCAAUCCAUAGAACACAUGAAUCACCAUAUCUGAUCCCCAUCUUCACAGUCUGAAUAUCUAACACAUCUCUCAUACACAAUCAUCCCACGAGGAAUACUUCUCUAAUUCUUCUGCGCCACAUAGCAAUAUCUGAAAAUCAGUAGUCGAUCAACCAAGCGAGCAUCACAAUACCAAUAAAGCAUCUGUAAGUCCAAACAAAGUGUGCCUACUGAAAUGCGCACCCUUCUCAAGCAAUCCAAGUAGUUGUAGCAUUUAUCUAAACAUAGGAAACCAUCCAUGGUGACUGAGAAUUCAUGACCUUCCCUUCAAAAUCGAAUUGUGACAUUGCACAUGCAUAUCUCAAUCCCACACAACACACCGCCUCUAUCAUUCCAUCAUAUGAAAAGCAUGAGAAUCUCAUAACCAACUCUGAGUCACCAGCAGAAUACAUACCCGAUUAGUCAGAAACCCUCAAUUUUAUCUCAUCUAAAAGAAAAUCCCAAUACACAACAUGUUCCACACAUCGGAAGGAAAUAUCCACCUCAAACAAUGAUGGAAAUCAUCGAGAACUCUUCAAAACCAAUUUUCACAUAACCAGACCAUCAAAAUUGAAUCUCUCUAACUCAAUCAAGUCAUGCAGGUCGCUAAACCCAAGAUUAUUGCCACAAAACACAUGUAGAGACUCACCACAUCCUAAGAACCAAAAGAGUCAAUCAUAUUCAUUACCAUAUUGAUCCAAUCUGUUACCAAGCUGCCCUAAUUCUCCCAAUUCCUCCUAAAUUUCCUUCAAAUUGAUACUUCUCUUUGCUAGAACACUACAAUCCUAAACCAAAACUUGUCCCACAAACUCUAGCAUAGAACCACACCGCCCUAAGGCUCAAAAGCCGUUGAAUUCCCUCUUAAGCACCCCAAAAGUACCAUAAUUGAGAUACACACUCUAAAGAGACCUUCCGUGAAUCUGAAGCUGCUUUUCUUCCCCUUCUUGAUACUAAAAUGUAGAAUCUAUAAUGAUAUAGAAAUAUCGCGAGUCUCGACCCCCUCCAAUGAAAAUCUCAGUUUCUAGCCAUAUACAAAUCCUGAAAGUUCCCAAUAGCUACAUUUAAAUCUUGCAUACAUUAGAACCAUUCUCGAGAGUCUUCCACUCCAGUCAAAUCUCAAUUAAACCGACUAAAUGGACUGAACAACAUGUGCCCCAUUAUCACACCAACAUCCAAGGAAGUAACCCACCUUAAUGCAACCAAACAAAUCCCUACUCCAUGCGCACUACAUCUUCUUUCCCGAAUAACAACUCAAUCAUCCCAUAAUUCCCAUAUACCCUUAAAUUGUAACAUAACUCGUAUCAAGAAAUUCCUUGCUAAUUCAUGAUCAAAACCAACAUCUGCAAGCCAUAACCGAUCCACAAGUAUGCCUCAGACUGAAACUGAUACAACACAUAACUAUCCAAUUAAAUUGUUGAUAACCAGCUCACCCACAUGGCUCAAAGCCAUAGAUCAAAACACACAAUAACUCACAAUGCCUAUACUCAUUUACUGUCAUAAACUCGCACUGAAAUUCAACUAAAUCCUUCAUAAGCUCAUGUAACACAAAUCAUUUAAUACCUCAAAUCAUCUACCAAGCUUGCAUUCAUCCUCAUGACGGUCAGGUCAACUAUUACAACCAAUUCAAGCUCAAAUCACACAAAUAUAACCCACUAGUGGAAACGAAGGCCUCCACACGACAUCAUAAAAGUCACACAUCCGUAGAUUACCUUGCAGGUUAUAACCCACAUGCUUAGCUUCAACUAACAUCUCUUUAUACCCUUUCAUAGCACAACUACUACGCAAUCACUUAAUCUUCCUGAGUAUAAACUCACCAACAAGGCAUGAGAACCAAAUUCAUUACAUAAUUAAACAAUUUAAAGAUCCUCCAAUAUACUCAUAGCUCGAGACUAUACGUCAUGUCGCGGUAGACAUCAAGCACCCAAUAGUUGUUUUUAAAUUAUAAGCAAACUCUUCUCAUCACAUUUAAUUUGUCUGAACACAUCCUGUAGUCAUAUCAUACUCAUCAUAUAGUCAUCCAACUUAUUAAAGCCACAAAUUCCACUCAAAUGGACACUACCAGACAUAUAAGUCCAAAAGCACGUGCUCACAAAAACGAAAUCUUCGUGCUCAAGCUAUAGUUAAAACCCGGCCUCAAGUUCUCCAAACUAGCCCACCAUCGGCACACCGAAAUCACAUCUCUCCACCUUAUCCAUGGAAUCGCAAGCCGCCGAUGCACAAUUGAUAUCGAGCGCUCACAUGUGCACACGAAUGCGUGAAAGGAAUACAAAGAGUUAUGCUUCAAGCUGAAUCAAUGUCGCACGAAAAGGAAAGAAAGAUGUGAAAUAUAUGCUAAAUGUCUUGUAGCCUCUCAAAGAUAGGUAUGGACGUCAUCAUACCGAUCCGCAAGACUCUACUAGACACUUGCUCAUGAAUUGUAGAACCUAUGAACUUAGAGCCAUGAUACCAAUCUGUCACGACCCAAAAUCCAACUAAUCGUGAUGGCAUCUAAUCCAACCCUCUAGAUAAGUCAACUAACAACUAUCCAAUUCCAAUGAAAUAAAUAAAACAAUUAAAUAGAAAAGUUAACUGAAUCUUAUACAUUCCCCAAGAACUGGUUACAAAUCAUGAGCUUUUAAGAAUAGAGGUUACAAAGCUAGUAUGAAGUAAAUACAUCAUCUAUUUGAAAAGUAGAUAAACCGAGUUUUAUGAAUCUAAGGCUACCACGAACAAGAGGCAGCUACAACCGGAACACAGGUACAUCUUCAAAUCCAGCUCCCAUCGAACACAAUAGCAUCAACAGCCAACAUCUGCAUGCAAGGUGCAGAAGUGUAGUAAGAUUACAACCGACCCCAUGUACUCAAUAAGUAAUAAACCUAACCUUAGGUUAAAAGUAGUGACGAGCUGGAACAAAGGUCGGGUCCAACAUCCAAUGGCCAACACCAGUUCAUAACAACACAAAGCAAGUAAUAAAAGAAGUAAUUCAGAAUAAAAUACUCAGUUUUUUAUAGUUUCCCAAAAAAUAGUUUCGCUUUUCAAGUAUAUCAGUGAAAACCCAAAUCUUUUGCCAAAAUCGUAGAAAAUAUGAGAAAGUUUGAAAACUGUAAAUUUUUCCCAAAAAUCCUUUCCACAAUAAAUAAGAGGAUUCAUUUUAUUUCUAGAUAGGAUGUGUGAAAUACCUCACAAUGCCCAUAUAUCAAUAUGAUAUAUCAAUAUGUAUGAGAAGUCAUGAAUGACGUGAUACCGUACAAUAUGAGAAAAAUGCAUCUCUAUGCUUGUAUGUCAUAUGUGCAUGCCAAUGCCAUGUAUCUCAGAGAUGAACUAAUGUACUCACACUCUCAGAGUACUCAAUCUCACUGUCUCACACUUUUCACUCAUCAUUCUUAAUCACUCAGUACGGUAUAUGGCCAAUCCGGCCCAGGGAAGAUCCAUCCCGGAAUAUAUACAUCAACUGAACAGCAGUUACUCAAUACUGAGUAGGGCCAAAUCCAGCCCAUGGGGAGGAGCCAUCACCAGGUAUAUAAAUGCUUCUGACAAGAUCCAUGUCCAAGGGAGAUCAAUCCCUCAAUAUAAUCAACCGCGCUCACUGAGGGUAUGUGCAGACUCCGGAGACCUCCUUCAGCCCAAGUACUAUCAUAAAUCAAUAUAGUCGUUAUGUCUUGCAACUUGAUCCCAGAUACGUAAUUAAUAUAACAUGUUACGGUGUGCAACCCAAUCCCAUAAUAUCACUCACACUCAGGUCUUCAACCAUACUCAAUCAUCAAUCUCUCCAGUCUCUCGGGCUCACAAUGCCAUGAAACUAUCCCAAAAUGAUGAUAUGAUUUGCCAAUAAAUGGUAACAAAGACAGAGAUAUGAUAUGCAUAUGAAUACACAUGAUUGAGUAUAUAAAGAAAUGAAAGCAGAUAACUCAAUAGCAGAAAUGACCUUAGUGGGCCUCAAUAGGAUAAGCAUGUAGCAUAGGCAUGGUUUCUAAAAUGGAUCAUAGCUCAAUAGCUCAAAUACGUAGAAAUUUCAUGGUUACAAGUAAGAUCAUGUAACUACACAGUACCACAAAAAUAAAGGAGUCACAUUUCACACGGUGUACGCCCACACGCCCAUCACCUAGCAUGUGCAUCACCUCAACACCAAUCACAUAACACGUAAUUCGGGGUUUCAUACCCUCAGGACCAAGUUUAGAAGUGUUACUUAGCUCGAACAAGCCAAUUCCAAUACCGAGCAAGCCAAACUAUGCUCCAAAAAUGCUAUCUCGCACGUACCGACCUCUGAAUGGCUCAAAACUAGCCAAAAGAAACUCAAAUACAUCAAAUAAUGCCAAAUAAAACAAACCCAUCGAUAAGUGUUGAAUCUUGAAUCAAAUGCCCAAAAUCAACUAAAAAGUCCAAUAUGGGCUCGCGCCUCAAAACCCGACACAACUCAUAAAAUCUGAUAACUCAUUCAAUUACGAGUUCAACCAUACUAGUUUUACUCAAAUCCGACUCCAAAUCGAUGUUCAAAACUCAAAUAUUCACAUUAUGAAACUUUAGGCUAAAACCCCCAAUUUCUCUUUAAAAUUCAUCAACCGAUUGCCAAAAAUGAAGAUAGAUUCAUGAAAUAAUAUCAAAACCAAGGGUAGAAAACAUAACCCAAUCCUUGGGAUGAAAAUUGCUCCAAAUAUUGCCUUAAUCCGAGUCCCACAUCUCAAAAUAUUAAGAAAGAACCAAAACCUCGAUUUGUAUAGCUUCUGCCCAGCCAUUUCUGCUUUUGCGGACACAGGAGCCGCUUCAGUGCUUCUACGACACGAGCUCCGCUUCUGCAGACUCCACUAACUAGUUGACCCCUCACACCUGCGGAUAUACAUCCGCUUCUGCACAAUCACAGGUGCAAAGCAUAACACGCUUCUGCGCCCAAGACCAUCGCUUCUGCGGGGCAGCAUAUGCGCCCCAACUUCCGCUUUUGUGAUUUAUUCCAACCAAGUCUACUUGCGCUCCUAUGGCCAAAUAUCCGCAUUUACGGACUCGCAUUUGUGACCAUCCUUCAGUAGAUGCGGAAACACCAAAACCAGUAUACCUACAACAAUGCAACAUGGAAUGGAAAUGAUCCAAACCUUGUCCAAAACUCACCCGAACCCCUCGAGACCCCGUCCAAUUAUACCAACUAAUCCAAUAACAUAACACAGACCUACUUGAGGCCUCAACUCACGCAUAACAACAUCAAAACGAUGAAUCGCACCUCUAAUCAAACUUUAUGAAUUUUGAACUUUCAACUUAUAUAACUCGUGCCGAAACAUAGCAAACCAACCCGGAAUGAACCCAAAUUUUGCACACAAAUCCCAAAUAACAUAACGAAGCUAUUCCAAUCCACGAAACCACAAUCCAAAUUUGAUAUAAAAACUCCACUCCCGGUCAAACUUUUCAAAAAUUCAACUUUCACCAUUUCAAGCUGAAUUCAACAACGGGACUCCAAAUCACAAUCCGGAUACGCUCCAAAGUCCAAAAUCACCCAACGGAGCUAACCGAAUCAUCAAAACUCUAAUAAGAAGUCGAAUAAUAAAAAGUCAAAACUAGGUCAACUCUUCCAAUUUAAAUCUUCCUAGAGAAUCAUUCUUCCAAAUCAAUUUCGAAUAUCCUGAAUACCAAAACCGAUGACUUAUACAAGUCAAAAUACAUCAUACAGAGCUACUCAUACCCGUAAACUACCGAGCAAAUUGCUAAUGCUCCAAACUACCGGUCGGGUCGUUACAGAAUUGAACUUAUAGUUUGUGUUUAAAUUGAAUGAAUUAUAAUUAAUUAUAUUUACUAUAAUAUAAUUUGAUGUAAUUUGGAAAAAUUAAUUAUCUUAAUUAACUAAAAAAUAUUUAAUUAAUUUAUAAUUGUAGAAUAAAUUGAAUAGUUCUAAUACUUAUAAAAAUAUCUCUAUUUUUUUUUUAUUUGUAUAGAUUGAACAUCGUACUUGGAUGUACAAUAGGAAUUAUCCUAGUCAGCAGGGAUUGAUGGAUGAUUUUGUAGAAGGGGUUGAUGACUUUAUAUAGACAUGCAAUGUCACUUUCACCAUACUAAAUUGAAGGAGUAAUUAGGUGCACUUGUUUUAUUUGUAUAGAUGGAACAUCGUAUUUGGAUGUACAAUAGGAAUUAUCCUAAUCGGUGGGGAUUGCAGGAGGAUUUUGUAGAAGGGGUUGAUGACUUUAUUAGAGAUGCAAUGUCACUUUCACCAUACCAAAUUGAAGGAGUAAUUAGGUGCCCUUUUGUCAAGUGCGAUUGUGUGAAGUUUAAAAAACCGGAUGAAGUUAAGUUUUAUCUUUAUAGGAAGGGGUUUAUAAAGAAUUAUUUGUAUGGACUAAUCAUUUAGAGAUCAAUGGUAGCCGUGGAAUAUUUCAUAACAUGGUUGUUGGUGAAAGUAGUAGGUCGGUGGAGAAUACAAAUCAUGAUUCUAGAUUUCAGGAUAUAGUUGCGGAUGCUUUUGGGAUGCACUCCGGGUGUGAGCCCAAUGAAAAUGUUAAAAAAACUCUUAAUGAUGAUGCAAAACAUUUUUGUGAACGGUUAGAGGAAGCUAGUCGUCCACUACGUGAAGGAAAGCUGCACUCUGAGUUGUCUAUUGCAGUUAGAUUACUAAGUAUCAAAUCUGAUUGAAAUAUUUCUCAAGCGGCUAUGGACUCUUUCAUUGACCUUAUGAGUGAACAAGUUGACCCAAAUAUCAAAUUACCUAGUGAUUUCUAUAAGGCAAAGAGAUUGGUUUCUAAGUUACGACUUUCGUCAAUGAGAAUUUAUUGUUGUGAAGAUGUUGCAUGUUAUAUUAUAAAGAUGAUGCAAAUUUAGAAAGUUGUAAAUUCUGCGAAAAGCCUCAUUUCAAGAGGCUUUCCAGCAGGAAUAUGGCCGUUGUGAAGGCGAUGCAUUAUUUACCUCUUAUACCUAGGUUAAAGAGGUUAUAUGAGUCGAUAAGUUCUUCUCCUCAUAUGAGACGGCACUUUGGACGCACUUUGAUAGGACAUAUCUAGAUUAUGCUAGUGAACCAAAGAACAUUUGGUUAGGUUUGUCUGCGGAUAGCUUCACGCCUUUUUCUAUAUAUGCGACACCAUAUUCAUGUUGGCAUGUCUUUCUUACACCUUAUAAUAUACCACCUGAGUUGUAUAUGACUAGUCCAUAUAUAUUUUUAAAUUGUAUUAUCCCCCAUCCACAUAAUCCGAGAAGUUUGAUUGAUGUAUAUUUUCAACCUUUGAUUGAUGAGCUAAAAUAUAUGUGGUAUGAUGGUGUUGAAACAUAUGACACAUCAACCAAGCAGAAUUAAAAUUGCGUGCUAAUUUAAUGUGGACUAUUAAUGAUUUUCCUGCGUAUGAAAUGUUUUCUGGGUGGAUGACUGCUGGAAAUCUAGCUUGUCCUUACUACAUGGAAAAUGGUAAAACAUUCACUUUGAAAUAUGGCCAAAAGCAAUCAUGGUUUGAUUGUCACCGUCAGUUCUUGCCUGAUGAUUAUGAGUUUAGAAGGAUGAAAAAUGCAUUCAAAAAGAAUAAAGUGGAAUAUGAUUUGCCACCUCCGAUACUUUCAGGUGAGGAAAUUUGGGAGAGGGUCCAGAACUUCAGUAAAGUUAUUGAGGCUCCACCUUUUAGAUUCCCCAGAUACGGUGUUACUCAUAAUUGGACGAAACAGAGUAUAUUUUGGGAGUUGCCUUAUUGGAAGGAUAAUCUUCUCCAACACAACCUUGAUGCCAUUCAUAUUGAGAAGAAUUAUUUUGACAAUUUGUUCAACACAGUGAUGGAUGUUAAAGGUAAGAUAAAAGAUAACCCAUAGGCUAGAAUGGACAUACAAGAAUAUUGUAGGCGACCUGAAUUAUACUUGAAAAUAAAAAAUAAUGGUAAGGUGUUCAAGCCCAAAGCAAGUUACACAUUCACUUUGGAGGAAAGACAGACAAAUUUGUGAUUGGGUUACGAAAUUGAAGAUGUCUGAGGGUUAUGCGUCGAAUCUAGGAAAACAAGCAGAUAUGCAGGUAGGGAAGUUGAGCCAUUUGAAAAGUCAUGACUGUCAUGUUUUCAUAGAGACCUUAGUGCCUAUUGCAUUUUGUGGUUUGCCUGAAAGAAUCUGGAAACCCAUCAUAGAGAUUAGUUUAUUUUUCAAAGAUGUGUGUUCUAUCACAUUAAAAAAGAAAACUUACUUCGGAUGGAUUAGAACAUUCGUGUAACUUCUAAUAAGAUGGAAAAAAUAUUUCCAUGUCGUUUCUUUGAUGUGAUAGAACACCUUCCAAUCCACAUUGUACACGAGGCACGACUUGGAGGGAAUAUUCAAUGCAAAUGGAUAUAUCCCUUUGAAAGGUAAUAUUAUAAGUUUGAUGUAGUAUUCUAUUUUAUUUGAAUGUUCUUGGCUAACAUGACAUUAUGUAGGACAAUUGGCAGAUGCAAACAAUUUGUUAAGUAGAGGAAUAGGAUUGAAUGAUCUAUAUGUGAAGCAUAUCUCGCAAAGGAAACUACAUAUUUUUGUUCUUAUUAUUUUGAGAGUAACGUACCAUGUUCUAGGAAUAGGUCCGAUAGGCACACUAUCGAAUGUUUGAAUGAUCUAUUGUAUCUAUCUACCAAUGUCCAUAUUCAAUUAAUCAAGACGAUAUUCGAAGGAUGUUAGAAAGAGAAGUUUGAGUGAUAUGGAGUACAAGUCAGUUACAAUUCUGUAACGACCCGGCCGGUCGUUUCAUGAGUUAUAACCCCGUCUCCCCCAUUUUUGCUUCCUUAUGUGUUGUUCAGCAGUAUUUCAUCAUAUCGUGUUGGUGGUGUUGUGUUCGGAGUGGUCUUAGGGUGGAGUGAGAUACUUAGUCUCUUAAGUUGGUUAUUUAGUUGGAAAAGUAAACUAGAAGUUGACUAAUGGGUAAAUGAUCUUGGAAUUGUAUUUUUAUGGUUCGGAUAGCUUCGUUAGGUGAUUUGGGACUUAACAACAUGUUCGGAAUGUAAUUUGGAGGUCCGUGGUAGAUUUAGCCUUGAAUUGGCAAAAUUGGAAAUUUAGCAUUUUUCGGUCGGCCAUGGAAAUCUUGAUAUCGAGGUCGAAAUGGAAUUUUGGAAAUUGGAGUAGGUCCAUUGUGUCAUUUUUUACGUGUGUGUAAAAUUUUAGGUCAUUCGGCGAGGUUUGAUAGGUUUUGGCAUCAUUUGCGGAAUUCGGAAGUUUGGAAAUCCUUAGGCUUGAAUCCCAGGAUGAUUUGAUGUUUUGAUGUUAUUUUGAGUGUCCCGAAGGUUGGAAUAAGUUUGAAUGGUGAUAUGUGACUUGUUGGCAUGUUUGGUUAAGGUCUUGAGGGUCUCAGGAUGGAUUUGGGUGGUUGACGAAAGGUUUGGCUUUGAGUUGUUGCUGCAGAUUUUGUUGCUUCUAUCACUUCUGCACCUACGGAUUGGGGACCGCAAGUGCGAGGUCGCAGAUGCGGUAUGGAGACCACAGAUGCGAGUAUGGUCUUUAGGAGAAGAACCGCAGGUGCGGUACCUGGGGUGUAGAUGCGGUCCUGGACAUUUAAGUGAAAACUGCAAGUACGGUUGAUUUGACCGCAAUAGUGGUCCGCAGGUGCAUGAAAGGGAGUCGCAGGUGCGAGAUGCCUGGGCAGAAGGUAUUUAAAGGAACCCUUCACGAAUUUUGGGUGUUCUUCACAAUUUCAACUCGGGUUUUGGAGCUUUUGGAGGGUUUUGAAGAGGGAUUCAAGGGAAACUCGUUAAGGUAAUGUUUUUGAACCUAAAACUCAAUUCUAUGGUGAUUUUCAGUUGAUUAAGCAUGAAAAUUGUGGGAUUUAAGGGUGAAAAUUGGGGGAUUGCGGCUUGAAUUGGGGAGUUUAAAUUGGGGAUUUGAGGAACCAUUUGAGGUCCGAUUUUGAUGAUUUUGGCAUGUAUAGAAUCGGGAGUGAAAGAAGUUUCUAGUUUUAUGAUUUUUGUUGGAUUCCGAGACAUGGGCUCGGGGUCGGGUUUGGCCAAUUCAAGGAUUUUUGAGCUAAUUUGAUACUUUUCGCGCGGGCUUUAUUCCUUUGGCGUGUAUUAAUGAUGUAAGACUGAUUUUAGUUAGAUUCGGAGCAUUUGGAGGCUGAUUCGAGAGGCAAAGGCAUUGCGGGCUAGAGUUUUGUCCGAUUUGAGGUAUGUAAUGAUUGUAAAUCUUGUCCUAAGGGUAUAAAACCCCGGAUUUCACAUCAUUUCACUAAUUUGAGGUGACGCACAUGCUAUAUAACGAGCAUGGGGGCGUUCACCAUUAGGGAUUGUGACUUGGUUCGUCCCGUACGACUAUUAAAUCACAUAUUUGACUGAAAACUAUUUGAUAUUAUUGUGCUUUGGAAAUUAUUACUAUGUUUUGGGCUGAAUGCCAUAUUUGGGCCUCGUGCCAAGUUGUUUGGACCCUUAGGGGCUUUUAUUUACUAUUAUUCUGCACUGUUUUAUGUAAUAUUUGUACCCAGUCAUGUUGUGUUUUACUAAAUUCAUAACUCGGCCUUAUUUGUUUGAUACUAUAUAUGAUAUUUUGGGUUGAGCGCCCUGUUUUACUGUUAUCCCGAGUGGCUUGAGAGGUUUCUGACUGAAUGAGGUCGAGGGCCUGUAUGUGAGGAUAUCAUGGGAUCAGGCUGUGUGCCGCAACAUGUUGUACUGAUUUGAGAUAUAUGAGAGGCAGAAGGCCUGAUUUUUUAUGCCACGAGAUGGCUUGUUAUAGUGGUUGGGCUGUAGGAGCCCCUCCCGAGUCUGAACACCCCUAGUGAGCGCGGGUACCCUGAGUGAGCGAUAUGAUGUUUCUCGAGGGGAUGAUCUUGAUUCAUAUUAUGCCCGAGGGGCUGAUUACGAGUGACUGUGAGGUAGCCCGAGGGGCUAGUUCUAAUUGAUGUUAUGCCGAGGGGCAAUUUAUGAUGCAUGUCUUGCCCGAUGGGCUAUUUAUGAUUUUCAUCAUUUUUACUCUAAACUUCAUUGAAUCUCUAUUGAAACUGUUAGAAAGAAAUUUUUCAAAGGUUUUUUUACUGAAAUUUGGAUUCUUACAAGACGAUUUGCAAUAGAUACUAUUUUGGAAAUAUAUUAUACUUACUGUGGUGUUAUGACGUGGAUUAUGUGUUUUCUUACUGCUCAGUCUUGAUUUACUUUUAUUACUUACUGAGUUGGCCUACUCACUGCACCUUGUGUGCAGAUCUAGGAGUUGCAGAUCGUGAUAGCGAGCAUUGAUCUUUCAUCCAGCGGGUCUUUCGGAGUCGGCAAGGUAGUUGCAUGGCGUUCGUAGCCUUGCUCUUCUCCCUCUUAUCUACCUUAGACUGUUUUUAGUAUUUUCCAAAUCGUGAUAGUCUUCGUUGUAUUCAAACUUUAGUAGAUGCUUGUGAUUUGUGACACCCUGAUGUCGGGCUUGUGUUUCUUUCCGCACUUGUUAUUUAGACGCAUGUUAUGGGAUUUUAUUUACUUAAUAGCUUAAAACAUCCUUACUUUGAAAUAUUGACUUGAUUUGGGAUUGUGUCGGCUGGCCUAGUUUCAUGAUAGGCGCCAUCACGACCGGGUUGGUUUUUGGGUCGUGACAAGUUGGUAUCAGAGCCUAGGUUAUAUAGGUCUCACGAGUCAUGAGUAGGUUUAGUAGAGUCUUACGGAUCGGUACGGAGACGUUUGUACCUUUUUCGAGAGGUUGCAGAACCUUUAGGAAAAACUUCAUAUUCUUGAAUUUAUGUCGUGCGAAUCUAUUGAUUCUGGUAACUGAACUUCUGUUAUUCUAUUCUCUCUCAGAUGGUAAGGACACGUGCUACCGGUCAGGAUGGACGACCACUAGUACCACUAGUUAGGGCCACUAGAGGUUGAGGAUGCGGUCGAGGCCAUGGUAGGGGCAGGGGUGUAGCCCGCAUAGCAACUAGGGCAGUACCUGCAGAUCCACUAGCCACCCUAGUUCAUGAUCAGGUCCUAGUUGCGGAUGCUCCAGUAGGACCAGCUCAGGCACCGACAAUGCCCAUUGUUAUUCCAGGCCUUCAGGAGCCCCUAGCCCAGAUUCUAUCAGUGUACACUGGCAUGGCUCAGGCGGUCUCAGUUACUACGGCCACAGCUACUUCUCAGGCCGGGGGAGGCACUCAAACUCCCGUCGCUGCCACACCUGAGCAGGUUAUACAGGGACUUCAGACACUGGGGGCACCUCCAACCCAGCCGGUUGUAGUUGCGCAAGACUAUGUAGCUCCUGUUAUGCUAGAGGAUGAGUAGGGCAGAUUGGAGAAGUUUAGGAUACUCCAACCUCCGUCAUUUAGUGGUGUUGGGGGUGAGGAUGCAUAUGAUUUCUUGGAUAAGCAUCAGAGGAUGCUUCAGACCGGAGUAUUCUGGAGACCGGUGGGGUCUCAUUCAUUACUUUCCAGUUCUAUAGGGCUACACUUAGUUGGUGGGAGGAUUACGAGAGGCGUAGGACGGUUGGCGCAAUGCCUCUUUCUUGCCACUAGUUCUUCGUUCUCUUUCUGGAGAUGUUUGUACCUAAGUCUCGCCGAGAUGAGUUGUGCAGGCAGUUCGAGCAGCUUCAUUAGGGUGAUAGAUCUGUUACACAGUAUGAGAUGUGGUUCUCCGAGUUGUCUCGUCAUGCGGUCUAGUUGGUUCCCACAGAUCGAGAGAGGAUCGGGAGAUUUAUAUAUGGCCUCAAUUUUCAGCUUCGAUUGCCUAUAACUAGAGAGAGGGUCUGUGGUACCACUUUUGAUAAGGUUGUUGACAUAGCUCGACAUAUUGAGAUGGUUCAUGGUCAGGAGACGGUUGAGAGGGAGGAAAAGAGGCCUCAUGGUCAGGGUGGAUUUAGUGGUGCUCCUCAUAGGGGUCAAUUUUAGCAUGACAAAGGUUGUCCAUUCAAACAUACUCAAUCAGCUCGCCCAGUUUAUCGGGGGGCAUCAUCAGGCCACAGUUCUCAUCAGGGUCAUUCAUCACUUAGUGCCUUUCCAGCCUAGAGUUCAUCUCGUGCUCCAUCAGUUCAGGGCUCUUCCAUGCCAGGUUCUUCUGCUAGUCAUCCCGAUUCUAGGGGUUCCCUUUAGUCCCCGUCUCCAGCACUAGGGGUUGUUAUGAGUGUGGAUAUUUGGGGCAUGUAUGUAGGUAGUGUCCUUAUCGUCAUGGGGGUCCGCCUCUGUAGAGGAGUCAACCAUCGACUUCAGCACUAGUUACUUUUACCACCAACCUAGUCAGCUAGAGGUGGAGGACAGUUAGCUAGGGGUUUCCCCAGAGGGGGAGGUCGAUCAGGUGGUGGUCAGGCCCGUUUCUAUGUAUUCCCAGCCAGACUAGAUGUUAUUGCUUCAGAUGCGGUGAUUACAAGUAUUGUCUCAGUUUGCCACAGAGAUGCCUCUAUGUUAUUUGAUCCUGGUUCCACUUUUUCAUAUGUGUCAUCUUAUUUUGCUCGUUAUUUAGACUCGCCCUGUGAGCCUCUUGUUUUAUCUAUUCGUGUAUCUAUUCCGAUGGGCGAUACUAUUAUUGUAGACCGCAUAUAUCGAUCGUGUGUGGUGACUAUUGGGGGUUUUAAGACCCGAGUGGACCUUCUGAUGCUUUGUAUAGUGGAUUUUGAUGUGAUAUUAGGCAUGGAUUGGUUAUCUCUGUGUCGUUCUAUUUUGGACUGUGAUGCUAAGAAGGUGAUGUUGGCCAUGCCGGGUGUGCCACGGAUUGAGUGGCGAGGUUUGACUGAUUUUGUUCCCAGUAGGGUGAUUUCAUUUUUGAAGGCCCAGCGGAUGGUUGGGAAGAGUUGUCUUUCUUACUUAGCCUUUAUGAGGGAUGUCAGUGCAGAGACUCCUAGUAUCGAUUUUGUUCCAGUAGUGAGGGACUUUCCGGAUGUGUUUCCUAAAAACCUGGCGAGCAUGCCACCGGACAAGGAUAUUGACUUUGGUAUUGAUUUGUUGCCGGACACUCAGCCCAUUUCCAUUCCAUCGUAUUGUGUGGCACCGACGGAGUUGAAGGAGUUGAAGGAGCAGCUUCAGGAACUCCUUGAUAAGGGAUUAUUCGUCUUAGUGUGUCGCAUUGGGGUGCGCCUGUUCUAUUUGUUAAAAAAAGAAUGUCAAGAUGAGGAUGUGCAUUGAUUACAGGAAGUUGAACAAAGUCACAAUCAAGAACAAGUAUCCUUUGCCUCGUAUUGAUGAUUUAUUUGACCAGCUUCAGGGAGCAAGAGUGUUCUCCAAGAUUGAUUUCAGGUCAGGGUAUCACCAGUUGAAGAUCAGGGACUCGAAUAUUCUUAAGAUAACUUUCAGGACCCGAUAUGGUCAUUCUAAGUUCCUUGUGAUGUCUUUUGGGCUGACCAAUGCCGCAGCAGCGUUCAUGCAUUUUAUAAACAACGUGUUUCGGCCCUAUCUCGACUUGUUCGUUAUUAUAUUCAUUGAUGAUAUUCUGGUGCACACGCGUAGUUAGGAGGAGCACACUGAGCAUUUGAGAGUUGUAUUGCAGCGGUUGAUGGAGGAGAAGCGUUAUGCAAAGUUCUCCAAGUGUGAGUUUUGGCUCAGUUCAGUGGCUUUCUUGGGACACGUGGUAUCCAUUGAGGGUAUUCAGGUUGAUCCGAAAAAGAUAGAGGCGGUUCAGAGUUGGCCCAGGCCGUCCUCAUCCAUAGAGAUUCUCAACUUUCUUGGUUUGGCAGGUUAUUACCAUCGGUUCGUAUCAGGUAUUUUCAUCUAUUGCAUCACCCUUGACCAAAUUGACUCAAAAGGGUGCUCCAUUUAGGUGGUCAGAUGAGUGUAAGGCGAGCUUUCAGAAGCUCAAGACUGCCUUGACCACAGCUCCAAUAUUAGUUUUGCCAUCAACUUCAGGUUCAUAUACAGUAUAUUAUGAUGCUUCAAGAGUUGGUAUUAGGUGUGUGUUGAUGCAGGAGGGUAGAAUUAUUACUUAUGCUUCUCGUCGGUUGAAGCCUCAUGAGAAGAACUACCCUAUUGACGAUUUGGAGUUGGUUUCCAUUUCACGUAUUGAAGAUUUGGAGGCAUUAUCUCUAUGGUGUGUCUUAUGAGUGUUUACUGAUCAUCGUAGCCUCCAGCACUUGUUCAAGCAGAAGGAUCCCAAUUUAAGGCAGCGGAGAUGGUUGUAGCUGCAAAAGGAUUAUGAUAUCACUAUUUUGUACCAUCCAGGGAAGGCCAAUAUAGUGGCAGAUGCCAUGAGUAGAAAGGUGGUAAGUAUGGGCAGUUUGGCAUAUAUUCAUGCUGGGGAGAGACCUCUUGUAGUUGAUGUUCAGGCCUUGGCCAAUCGGUUUAUGAGUUUGGAUAUUUCGAAGUCCAGUCAGAUCUUAGCUUGUGUGGUUUCUAGGUCUUCCUUAUUUGAUCGCAUCAGAGAGCGCCAGUAUGAUGAGCCUCAUUUGCUUGUUCUCAAGGACAGAGUUCAGCACGACGAUGCCAGAGAUGUGACUAUUGGUGAUGAUGGGAUAUUUAGGAUGCAGGUUCGGAUAUGUGUGCCCAAUGUAGAUGGGCUUUGGGAGUUGAUUCUGGAGGAGGCAUAUAGCUCGCGGUAUUCCAUCCAUCUGGGUGCCGCGACGAUUUAUCAGGAUUUGAGACAGCACUAUUGGUAGAGGAUAAUGAAGAAAGAUAUAGUGGGAUUUAUAGCUCGGUGUCUCAAUUGUCAGCAGGUGAAAUACGAGCAUCAGAGACCGGGUGGCUUGCUUCAGCAAAUGGAUAUUCCAGAGUGGAGUGAGAGAGGAUCACUAUGGAUUUAGUAAUUGGGCUCCCAUGGACUUUGAGGAAGUUCGAUGCCAUUUGGAUGAUUGUGGAUUGGCUGACCAAGUCCGCGUACUUCAUUCCUGUAUGUACCACCUAUUCUUCAGAGCGGUUAGCUGAGAUUUAUAUCUGAGAGAAUGUUUGCCUGCAUGGGGUUCCAGUUUCCAUCAUUUCAGAUAGAGGUACUCAAUUCACAUCGCAGUUUUGGAGAGUCGUGCAGCGAGAGUUGGGUACUCAAGUUUAGUUGAGCACAGAUUUUCACCCUCAGAUGAACGGACAGUCUGAGUGCACUAUUCAGAAAUUGGAGAACAUGUUGCGCACUUGUGUCAUUGAUUUUGGGGGUUCAUGGGAUCAGUUUUUAUUGCUCGCAGAGUUUGCAUACAAUAACAGUUAUUAAUUGAGUUUUUAGAUGGCUCCAUAUGAGGCUUUAUAUGGGAGACGAUGUAGAUCUCCAGUAGGAUGGUUUGAGCUGGGCGAGGCUAAGCUUUUGGGUACAGACUUGGUGAAGGAUACUUUGGAAAAAGUGAAAGUGAUUCAGGAGCGGCUUCGUACAGCGCAGCGAGACAAAAGAGCCAUGCUAACAGGAAGGUUCAUGAUGUGUCUUACAUGGUUGGGGAGAAGGUUCUACUGAAGGUUUCACCCAUGAAGGGUGUUAUGAGAUUUGGGAAGAAAGGUAAAUUGAGUCCUCGGUUCAUUGGGCCUUUUGAGGUGCUUCGAAGGAUUAGGGAGGUGGCUUAUGAGUUGGCUUUGCCACUUAGAUUGUCGAGUGUGCAUCCGGUAUUUCAUGUUUCUAUGCUCCGGAAGCAUAUUGUCGAUCGGUCUCAUGUUUUAGAUUUCAGCACGGUUCAGUUAAAUGGUGAUUUGACUUAUGAUGUGGAGCCAGUGGCUAUUUUGGAGCAGCAGGUCCAAAAGUUGAGAUAGAAGGAUAUAGCUUCAGUGAAAGUGCAGUGGAGAGGUCGGCCCAUGGAAGAGGCUACUUGGGAUACUGAGCGAGAGAUGCGGAGCAGAUAUCCACACCUAUUUGAGGCUUCAGGUAUGUUUCUUGACUGGUUCGAGUACGAACGUUUGUUUAAGAGGGGGAGGAUAUAACGACCUGACCGAUCGUUUCAUGAGUUAAAACCUCGUCUCCCCCAUUUUUACUUCCUUGUGUGUCGUUCAGCUGUAUUUUAUCAUAUCGUGUUGCUGGUGUUGUGUUCAAAGUGGUCUUAGGUGGAAUGAGACACUUAGUCUCUUAAGUUGGUUAUUUAGUUGGAAAAGUCAACCGAAAGUUGACUUAUGGGUAAAUGAUCUCGGAAUUGGGGUUUUAUGGUUCGGAUAGCUUUGUUAGGUGAUUUGGGACUUAGGAGCGUAUUCGGAAUGUAAUUUGGAAGUUCGUGGUAGAUUUAGGCUUGAAUUGGCGAAAUUGAAAUUCGGCGUUUUCCGGUCGGCAGUGGAAAUCUUGAUAUCGGGGUUGGAAUGGAAUUUUAGAAAUUGGAGUAGGUCUUUUGUGUCAUUUGUGACGUGUGUGCAACAUUUCAGGUCAUUCGGACGAGGUUUGAUAGGUUUUGGCAUCAUCUGCAGAAUUCGGAAGUUUGGAAAUCCUUAGGCUUGAAUCCAAGGGUGAUUUGAUGUUUUGAGUGUUCCGAAGGUUGGAAUAAGUUUGAAUGGUGAUAUGUGACUUGUUGGCAUGUUUGGUUGAGGUCCCGAGGGCCUCGAUAUGAAUUUGGGUGGUUAAUGGAUGGUUUGGCUUUGAGUUAUUGCUGUAGAUUUUGCUGCUUCUGUCAUUUCCGCACCUACAGAUUGGGGACCAUAGUGCGAGGUCACAGAUGCGGUAUGGAGACUGCAGAUGCGAGUUUGGCCUUCAGAAGAAGAACCGCAGGUGCGGUACCGGGGCUCAGAUCCGGUCUUGGACGUUUAAGUGAAAACUGCAGGUGCGAUUGAUUUGACCAUAGAAGCGGUCCACAUGUGCGUGAAAGGGAGCCACGAGUGCGAAAUGCUUGGGCAGAAGGUAUUUAAAGGAACCCUUCACGAAUUUUGGGUGUUCUUCACCAUUUCAACUUGAUUUUUGGAGGGUUUUGAAGAGGGAUUCAAGGAGAAACUCGUUGAGGUAAUAUUUUUGAACCUAAAACUCGAUUCUAUGGUGAUUUUCAGUUGAUUAAGCAUGAAAAUUAUGGGAUUUAAGGGUGAAAAUGGGGGAUUAGAUAUUGAAAUUGGAGAGUUUAAAUUGAGGAUUUGAGGGGCCAUUUGAGGUUCGAUUUUGAUAAUUUUGGUAUGUAUUGACUCGGGAGUGAAAGGAGUUUCUAGUUUUAUGAAUUUUGUUGGCUUCUAAGAUGUGGGCCCCGGGGUCGGGUUAGGCCAAUUUCGGGAUUUUUUAGCUAAUUUGAUAAUUUCCGUAUGGGCUUUAUUCCUUUGGCGUGUAUUAAUGAUGUAAAAUUGAUUUUGGUUAGAUUCGGAGCAUUUGGAGGCCGAGUCGAGAGGCAAAGGCAUGCGGGCUAGAGUUUUGUCUGGUUUGAGGUAAGUAAUGAUUGUAAAUCUUGUCUUGAGGGUAUGAAUCCCCAAAUUUCACAUUGUUUCACUACUUUGAGGUGACGCACACGCUAGAUGAUGAGUGUGGGGGUGUUCACCGUUAGGGAUUAUGAUUUGGUCCGUCCCGUACGACUAUUAAGUCGCAUAUUUGACUGAAAACUAUUUGAUACUAUUGUGCUUUGGAAAGUAUUACUAUGUUAUGGGCUGAAUGCCAUAUUUAGGCCCGUGCCAAGCUGUUUGGAUACUGAGGGGCUUUUUUUAACUACUAUUCCUCACUAUCUUGAUGUAAUAUUUGUACUCAGUCAUGCUGUGUUUUACUGAUUUCAUAACUUAGCCUUAUUUACUCAGUUUUGAUACUAUAAAUGAUAUUUUGGGCUGAGUGCCCUAUUUUACUGUUAGCCCGAGUGGCUUGAGAGGUUUCUAACUGAGUGAGGCUGAGGGCCUGUGUGUGAGGAUAUCAUGAGAUCGGGCUGCGCGCCGUAGCAUGUUGUACUGAUUUGAGAUAUAUGAGAGGCUGAGUGCCUGAUUUGUUAUUCCACAAGAUGGCUUGUUAUAGAGCUUAGGCUGUAGGAGCCCCUACGGAGUCUGAAUACCCCCAAUGAGCGCGGGUACCUUGAGUGAGUGAUAUGAUGUUGCCCGAGGGGCUGAUCUUGAUUCAUGUUGUGCCCGAGGGGCUGAUUACGAGGGACUAUGAGGUAGCCCGAGGGGCUAGUUCUGAUUGAUGUUAUGUCGAGGGGCUAUUUACGAUUUUUAUCAUUUUUUCUCUAAACUUCAUUGAAUCUGUGUUGAAACUGUUAAAAAGACAUUUUUCAAAGGGUUUUUUUUACUGAAAAUUGGAUUUUUACAAGAUAAUUUGAAAUAUAUACUGUUUUGGAAACAUAUUAUACUUACUGUCGUGUUAUUACGUGGAUUAUGUGUUUUCUUACUGCUUAGUCUUUAUUUACUUUUAUUACUUACUGAGUUGGCGUACUUACAUUACUCCCUAUACCUUGUGUGCAGAUCCCAGGAGUUGCGGAUCGUGAUUGCUAACGCUGAUCUUUCAUCCAGCGGGUCUUUCAGAGUUGGCAAUGUAGUUGCAUGGCGUUUGUAGCCUUGUUGUUCUCCCUUUUAUCUUCCUUAGACUGUUUUUAGUAUUUUCCAGACUGUGAUAGUCUUUGUUGUAUUUAGACCUUAGUAGAUGCUCGUGACUUGUGACACCCUCAUGUCGGGCUUGUGUUUCUUUCCGCACUUGUUAUUUAGACGCAUGUUAUGGGAUUUUAUUUAAUUUAUAGCUUAAAACGUCC